ACGACCAGCCACACUGGAACUGAGACACGGUCCAGACACCUACGGGUGGCAGCAGUCGAGAAUUUUUCUCAAUGGGGGCAACCCUGAAGGAGCGACGCCGCGUGGAGGAUGAAGGUCUUCGGAUUGUAAACUCCUGUCAUUUGGGAACAAAUACCUGAUUUAACUGAUUAGGAACUGAUAGUACCAGAAGAGGAAGAGACGGCUAACUCUGUGCCAGCAGCCGCGGUAAUACAGAGGUCUCAACCGUUGUUCGGAUUCAUUGGGCGUAAAGGGUGCGUAGGCGGUCGCGCAAGUCGGAUGUGAAAUCUAAGGGCUCAACCCUGAAACUGCAUUCGAUACUGCGUGGCUCGAGUACUGGAGAGGAGACUGGAAUUUACGGUGUAGCAGUGAAAUGCGUAGAUAUCGUAAGGAAGACCAGUGGCGAAGGCGAGUCUCUGGACAGUUACUGACGCUGAGGCACGAAGGCCAGGGGAGCAAACGGGAUUAGAUACCCCGGUAGUCCUGGCAGUAAACGGUGUACGUUUGGUGUAGGCGGAUUCGACCCCGCCUGUGCCGGAGCUAACGCGUUAAACGUACCGCCUGGGAAGUACGGUCGCAAGAUUAAAACUCAAAGAAAUUGACGGGGGCCCGCACAAGCGGUGGAGUAUGUGGCUUAAUUCGAUCCACGCGAAGAACCUUACCAGGGUUUGACAUGUAUCUCUAAGUCGGUGAAAGCUGGCGAGUUGUAGCAAUACAACAAUUUACACAGGUGCUGCAUGGCUGUCGUCAGCUCGUGUCGUGAGAUGUUGGGUUAAGUCCCGCAACGAGCGCAACCCUUACGUCCUGUUGCCACUCCUUUAUUGGAAGCACUCUGGACGGACUGCCCUGUGAAACGGGGAGGAAGGUGAGGAUGGCGUCAAGUCAGCAUGGCCCUUACACCCUGGGCUGCACACGUACUACAAUGCUCAGUACAAUAUGAGCCGAAACCGCGAGGUGGAGGAAAUCGAUAAAACUGAGCCCAAUUCGGAUCGCAGGCUGCAACUCGCCUGCGUGAAGCCGGAAUCGCUAGUAAUGCCGUAUCAGCUACGACGGCGUGAAUACGUUCCCGGGCCUUGUACACACCGCCCGUCACAUCAUGGGAGUCGUUUGCACCCGAAGUACACCACUGGUGUCCUACGGUAUGAGCGGUAACUGGGAUGAAGUCGUAACAAGGUAGCCGUAGGGGAACCUGCGGCUG
This 1216-nucleotide ribosomal RNA is filed under the name metagenome. Its description in RNAcentral is "bacterial SSU rRNA". It matches the Rfam family "Bacterial small subunit ribosomal RNA", at positions 300 to 1520 of the family's 1533-position model. The record is from RNAcentral.